AACGAGUUUGAUCUUUGAUUUAGAACUAUUUAUUCCCCAAGGAUGGCUGGUAAGAGACAAAAAUGCUGUGGAAUUGGUUCACGCUCAUACAGCUAGUAAGCAGCAGAGGCUGGAACGUCUGUUUGACUCCAAAGUCCACUGGAGUCCUACAUACGACAAGCCCAAUUCUCCUUCCUCCAUGUCCUUCGAAGUCCUUAAAUGUCCAUUUAACUUAAGGAAACCAGCUUCCACAUUUUAGAAAUUUAGACCUACACCUCCAAGUUGGUAAGCAGUCAGGCCCUGGCGAAACUGGACUGCGUAGUCAACACUGUCUUUCAAACUAAAGAUUGGUUCAAGAUGCUUUUUUUCCAUGGUGGAGUCUUGGUUCCUUGGAUCCCCCAGCAACUCAGCCUCAGCCUAUUCAGAGCUGGCUUCAGAAGUCCAUGACACCGACAGAACAGAGACUUCUCACUUCUCACAGAGAUCUAGGAAGAGAAAAUGUUUCUGGUAUAAGCACAGAUUUCUACUAAUUUCUGCUUCUGUUUCUAACUUUUGCAUAAACUAACUGGUUGAAUAAAAGAAAAUGCCUGAGGGGGGACCUGCCAAGGAGUGGAAAGUUUAGUCUCCUGAGGCUGGAGGACUCCAACAAACACUCUGAAGCUGAUAGCACUUCAAAGAUGUGGUUCAUCAAAUCAGGAGCUGAGGUGUGCAUAAGGAACGAGAUGUUAAAAGGACAUCACCUGGCAACCAGAUUCAAAAUCCUUUGAGAACAUUAACCUCCUGGCCAGGCCUAGAUUUAAAGCGAAUGGUUAACCCGCUUCCUGACAAUAGCUAUACAGCUGAGAUACGUUCAUAGGAGGGGAUGUGGG
RNAcentral lists this long non-coding RNA (848 nucleotides) under Equus caballus (horse). Its description in RNAcentral is "lncRNA (ENSECAG00000042035.2)". The record is from RNAcentral. Lineage: Eukaryota; Metazoa; Chordata; Mammalia; Perissodactyla; Equidae.